AGACAAAAUGUCUCGAUUAACAAAGGGGCUGACGAUUUACAGGAUUUCUUCCUUGUGGUAAAGUUGUUCCAGCGAGGGAGUGAGACAGAGAAGCAGGUAAAGAGACAAAAUGUCUCGAUUAACAAAGGAGCUAAUGAUUUACAGGAUUUCUUCUUUGUGGUAAAGCUAUUCCAGGGAGGGAGUGAGACAGAGAGAGACCAGACAAUGGGAAAGGGAGAGAUUGAAAGGAUGUCUCAAGGGAGGGCAGAGAGGGAAAUCAAAGUAAAGGACAAGAAAAUAUGGAAGAGGGAUAGAGAGAACGAACAGGAAAUAGGGAGAAGGGAAAGACAUGAGACAAGCUUGGGGCGAUAGAGAAAGAAUGCCUGAAAUGGAAUGUUGCAGAGAAAGAUAUUGAAAGGAGUAAACUGUUAUGGAUUACUACGCAAAUUGGUUUAUUUGGUUCGGUGUUCCUUUUUUUAUUUACUACUUUAUACUUCAAAAUUAAAUGGAUGAAUGUAAUAUGACCCACCUUUUCAAUGACUUCCUUUUUCUUCUUGUAUUAGAUUAAAUCCCUUUUGAUUUACUGCUUCAUAAUUUGAAAUAUUUGACUCAUCCUUUUUGGUCAUUUGAUUAUGAACUGAAUCACACAUUUGUUUGAA
Macadamia integrifolia is the source of this 638-nucleotide long non-coding RNA. RefSeq lists it as uncharacterized. Lineage: Eukaryota; Viridiplantae; Streptophyta; Magnoliopsida; Proteales; Proteaceae. The transcript is spliced from 2 exons. The record is from RefSeq and is a predicted model, not a curated record.